Molecule: transfer RNA, 64 nt
Filed under: Marmota monax (woodchuck)
Lineage: Eukaryota; Metazoa; Chordata; Mammalia; Rodentia; Sciuridae
Description: tRNA.Val
Source: RNAcentral
GAUGUAGCUCAGUGGUAGAAUGCUUGCCUAACAUGCUUGAGGCCCUGGGUUCAACCCCAGCACA